GCUCGUUUCGGCAACACGUGCUAAAAUUGGAUGAUCCAGAGAAGAUUAGCAUGGCCUUUGUACAAGGAUGACACACAAAUUAGUGAAGCAUUCCAUAUAAAA
Molecule: small nuclear RNA, 102 nt
Organism: Nycticebus coucang (slow loris)
Lineage: Eukaryota; Metazoa; Chordata; Mammalia; Primates; Lorisidae
Source: RefSeq, a predicted model, not a curated record